GUCCACGCCCUAAACGAUGCGAACUGGACGUUGGGAGCAAUCAGGCUCUCAGUGUCGAAGCUAACGCGUUAAGUUCGCCGCCUGGGGAGUACGGUCGCAAGACUGAAACUCAAAGGAAUUGACGGGGGCCCGCACAAGCGGUGGAGUAUGUGGUUUAAUUCGAUGCAACGCGAAGAACCUUACCUGGCCUUGACAUCCACGGAACCCUUGAGAGAUCGAGGGGUGCCUUCGGGAACCGUGAGACAGGUGCUGCAUGGCUGUCGU
Molecule: ribosomal RNA, 264 nt
Filed under: uncultured bacterium
Lineage: Bacteria
Description: partial 16S ribosomal RNA
Rfam family: Bacterial small subunit ribosomal RNA
Source: RNAcentral